AGGACGAACGCUGGCGGCGUGCCUAACACAUGCAAGUCGAACGAGAAUCGAUGGAACGGAGCUUCGGCGAAGGGAAGUCGAGGACAGUGGCGGACGGGUGAGUAACGCGUGAGCAACCUGCCCUUCAGAGGGGGACAACAGUUGGAAACGACUGCUAAUACCGCAUGAUAUAUUGGGAAGGCAUCUUCCUAUUAUCAAAGAUUUAUCGCUGAAGGAUGGGCUCGCGUCUGAUUAGCUGGUUGGUGGGGUAACGGCCUACCAAGGCGACGAUCAGUAGCCGGACUGAGAGGUUGAACGGCCACAUUGGGACUGAGAUACGGCCCAGACUCCUACGGGAGGCAGCAGUGGGGAAUAUUGGGCCAAUGGGGGCAACCCUGACCCAGCAACGCCGCGUGAAGGAAGAAGGCUUUCGGGUUGUAAACUUCUUUGACGAGGGACGAAAAAUGACGGUACCUCGAAAACAAGCCACGGCUAACUACGUGCCAGCCGCCGC
RNAcentral lists this ribosomal RNA (493 nucleotides) under uncultured bacterium. RNAcentral's name for it is "bacterial SSU rRNA". It matches the Rfam family "Bacterial small subunit ribosomal RNA", at positions 26 to 518 of the family's 1533-position model. The record is from RNAcentral.